This 460-nucleotide ribosomal RNA is filed under the name uncultured bacterium. Its description in RNAcentral is "partial 16S ribosomal RNA". It matches the Rfam family "Bacterial small subunit ribosomal RNA", at positions 338 to 795 of the family's 1533-position model. The record is from RNAcentral.
CCUACUGGAGACAUCAUUGAGGCAUCUUGGUCAAUGGCCGAGAGGCUGAACCAGCAAAGUCGCGUGAGGUCCUCCUUCCCUCCUUUUUUUCCCCCUCUUUUCUCUUUUCUCCCAGAGAGUCACGUGUGACUCAUUGAGAGUACCCGAAGAAAAAGCAUCGGCUAACUCCGUGCCAGCAGCCGCGGUAAUACGGAGGAUGCGAGCGUUAUCCGGAUUUAUUGGGUUUAAAGGGUGCGUAGGCCGCAUGUCAAGUGUGCUGUGAAAUGUCCGGGCUCAACCCGGGCCUUGCAGCGCGAACUGGCGUGCUUGAGUCGGCGGAAAGCAGGCGGAAUUCGUCGUGUAGCGGUGAAAUGCUUAGAUAUGGCGAAGAACCCCGAUUGCGAAGGCAGCAUGCUGCAGCGGAACUGACGCUGAUGCUCGAAAGCGAGGGUAUCGAACAGGAUUAGAGAAAAAAGUAGUC